AUGACUUUGAUCUGCGUCCUCAUCUGGACUCUCCUCUGCUGCUGCUUCACAGAGUCCAGAGGACAGAUCACAGUGACUCAGCCUGGAGCAGUGAGCUCUGCUGUGGGAGGAACUGUGAGCAUCAAGUGUAGGACCAGUCAGGAUGUUUAUGGCUCCAGCUAUUUACACUGGUACCAACAGAAAGAUGGAGGAGUUACUAAACUGCUCAUUUAUCGUGCUAGCAAUCGACAAUCAGGGAUUCCAGCUCGUUUUACAGGCAGUGGAUCAAACUCUGACUUCACUCUGACCAUCACUGGAGUCCAGGCUGAAGAUGCAGCAGUUUAUUACUGUCAGAGUUAUCAUGUCAUCAACAGUCAGCAUGUGUUCACACAGUGAAAAACAGUCGUACAAAAACCUCCCUCAGUCAGACUGAACAGAAACUGAACUGACUGCUGCAGCUGGAAGAUACUGCAGAGACUGAUACAGUUCACUGAGGACACACAGACACACACACACACACACACAAGCUAUAGUGAAACAGUAUUUCCAACAUAAUUACUGGAUUGUCCCAUUAGCAGCAGGUUCUCUAACUAUUGCAAACAAGAGCUUAAUAACAUCUAAAACUAGACAGUAUUGUUUGAAAUGUGGAAAGAAACUGUCAUUUUAAUAAGUCACUAACUUUAAGCUGAUAUUCAUGUCUAAAGUUGCUUUAGUAGUU
This is a non-coding RNA of Oreochromis aureus, 697 nucleotides long. The record is from the annotation of a RefSeq genome assembly. NCBI's taxonomy places the organism in Eukaryota, Metazoa, Chordata, Actinopteri, Cichliformes, Cichlidae.